Symphalangus syndactylus (siamang) is the source of this 222-nucleotide long non-coding RNA. RefSeq lists it as uncharacterized. NCBI's taxonomy places the organism in Eukaryota, Metazoa, Chordata, Mammalia, Primates, Hylobatidae. The record is from RefSeq and is a predicted model, not a curated record.
CUUAUCUUGUGCCAGGUACUAUUAGGUGCUUUUAUAAAUGCUCAGGGAAGCCAUUCUUCAGAGGAAGGAGCUGAGCUCCUCACCUUUGGCAAUGAAGGAGAUGACUCAUCCAGAAAACCACAAGAUCCUCUCAUCUCAACAGACAGGGAGGGAAGCCUAAGUUAGAACAAAGGCAUCUGAAGAGAACUGAGACAGCUAAGAAGGACAAGGUGUCAAGCGCAC